RNAcentral lists this long non-coding RNA (222 nucleotides) under Pelobates cultripes (western spadefoot toad). Lineage: Eukaryota; Metazoa; Chordata; Amphibia; Anura; Pelobatidae. The record is from RNAcentral.
AAAACGUUUAAUUAUACAGUAAGCAUACUCACAUGCAGACACAGGCAAUUUCACUGACAUCUCAAUGACACACAGAAGCUCAUUGAUACACAGCCUCAUAGACAAACAAUCUUACUGAUAUACAUCAGCUCAUUGACAUAAAAACACAAGCUCACUCACUAGCAGGCACAUGCAUGCAAGCAAGCUCACUCACUAGCAGACGCACACACAGCUUAAUGUGGU